UGUUACAAAUUGAACAUAAUUAAAGCUUAAUGAUUAAUCACAAAAACAAUAUGUAAUUAUAUAUGUGUUUUCCGAUGGUCUUAGGCGACCCCUGUGAAAGUUAGGUGUGGCCAUGGGAUUUGCUCCAUGAAUAGUACACACACAUUUUAAAUUCUCUGGAAUUGGGUCGUUUGACCCCCAAAGGGGUCGCAUCCCACAGGUUGAGAACCGCAGCUCUAGAAGGAUCGUUCUGGUGUCAUUUUGGAUGAUCAUUUCCAGCGGGGAAAAUUUGGGAUUAUAGAACGACAACUGUUUGGAAACUGUAGGGUUAUAAUCCAGAAGAAAGGUGGCCUCUAGGCCAAACUAGAUAAGUGGGAAUAUGGAGGAGGGGGAAUGGGAAGUAUUUUGAAGGUGAGCUUCCCAGGACUCAUGCUUGAGUGUGGGGCAUGAGAAAGAGGGCAGCGGCCCGUAGUUCGGGGGUUACUGGCUCCAGUGCUGAUGCCGCUGGAGGUAAGAGCCCAGGUAGUGGCGGUGCAUUUGCCGGGGAGGCUGUGGUGACACCUCCACAGUGUCAGUACUUUCAGCAGCGGAGGCGCAUGUGUGCCUGGUGCUCCUACGUGUUUAUCACGAGUUGGCUGGGGGGCCGGGGGGGGGCGGUCCUGCUCCAGGCCACUGUCCUCACUGCAGGACCCAGGCCUGUAGGCUCGGUUUAGGCUGCCACACGUGUUGAGGCAGGAGAGAGAACAUGGCAGAUCACACACUGGCUCCUUCCGGCUUGUGCCCAGAAGUGAUGCACCCAACAUCCUUCUAACAUUUCCUUGUUAGCAGUCAAUCCCAUGGCUGCACCUAACUCUCAAGAGGGUUGAGAUCUGUCGCCUUUCCAUAUGGAGUCUCCCCAUGACUCCAAUGGUGGUGGUGGUGGUGGAGGUGUGGGAAGGCAGCAUGUUCAUCUGUGAUGUUGAACCUGAACUAUUUCAGGGAAAUUCAGUUCAGAAGAAGUUGGGAAUCUGGGCUUGUGUCUCAAGAGCAUUCAGGACUAGAGAAAUAGUAUGGGAAGGUUUCAAAGUAAUGGUCAUAAAACAAGCCACGGGAGUGGAUAACUUUGAUCAGGGAGGGAAUAGAGCCUGUUCUAAUAUGGUAAAAAGUCAAGGUUAAUAGUUUGUGGUUACAAAUAUGGCAACCCCGAGGCCAUAUUUUUUUUAGUAGCUUAUUAUAGACUUUUAAAUAAUUUUAAGUAACUGUUGGCAUAGGGGUGGAAUUAAUCACUUAAACGGCAUUUAGCUUUUUCAGACUCCCAAAUCGCUGACUCGUGUUUAAUCAUUUAAAAGGUGCCUUUAGAUUUUGCAGUAGGAUUUCAGCCAAUUUUCUGACCCGGCUGGGAAGAAAAAGUAUUGCUAAGAAUAGUCAUUGUAGUUUGAAUUGAAGACCAGUCAUAAGUUGAUUGAUACUUGGAUUGCUGAGUACUCAGAAAAUUAGAAUACCUUAUAAAAUCUUCUGACUGGCUGUGCUUCAGACAGAAACACAAGGUUAACCUUGCUGUAAAUGAUAUUCUUGUUACAGCUCCAGUUACUGACAGAGGGAGGUGGUUAAUAGCGCUUCUCCCCAUUGGCCAGUGUGUGUGCAUAAGGAGACAUGCUUUUUCUAGUCCCCUUUCUCUUAAAAGGUUCUUGCGCUUUUGCCUACCCAACCUCCACCAGGGUCUCACUUUGUAAACUUUUUACAUAGAGAUAUGUGAUUACCCAAAAUAACCUCUCCUCCCUUCAAGAUGAUGCACUUAUCAGGAAAAUCAAAAACAAACCAACCUGCUUGAGUGCGUGUCACCAUUAUUUCUUUGAUGGCGGUUUUGCAGCAUCACAAGAGCAGUGAUGGUGAACAUGACGAUGCCUGUCCGCACAAUCGGGGCCUUUGAUGGCUGUGCAGUGAAGCCUGCUGGGAUGAUGCACACAGCACCCGGCCCUCGAGGAGACCCUGCGGCCCCAUUCCCGUUGGGAGAUGGCUUGGUGACACAUCAGGGCGAGAUUUUUCUGUUUUCGUUCUGCACAUCAUUGAGUUUCAUCAUCCGUGUGUCUUGAAAAUUUGACUCCCACGUGUCCUUACCUGACAAUUACAGGAAUUGCAGGGGGAUUUGAGGAAGUGCAAUUUGAGGUGGAAGCAAUGAUCAUCAUUCCGGAAGCCUCAGACGAGUCAUCUGAUGAGCUCCCAGGUGUAGCGGCGAGUGGAAGACGGAAGCCCGGGGACCAUAUGCAUCGCCUCCCUCCUGGUUUUUUGUUUGCUCGUUUUUUGUUUUGGAAAUUGUUGUUCUUUGGGGUCCCAGUCAGACACGGGUCUCCACCCCAGUUCCCUCUUGACCUGCGUGUGAAUUUGGGAAAUGGAGGAGCCUUUUGGAAUGUGUGUCCUUCUGUGAGGAUCCCAGUUUCGUCUGGGCAAAGUCCCCAUCGGCCCCUCUUGUCCCUGCAGAAUCAAUAGCAGUGCCCUCGCUCAUGCUCCGAGGAGUCCUGGUUCGGGCAAUGCGUUAUAUGGACGUCCUGUUUGUAAGUGAAAUGGAGAUAGUGUGAAGGUGUAACUGUAUGCAAUAAUGUGGAAGUGAACAUCUCAGUUGCUUUGGUUCACAAAAUAAAUUUUUUAUUGCAGCAGGUAA
Long non-coding RNA from Myotis myotis, 2617 nucleotides. RefSeq lists it as uncharacterized. The record is from RefSeq and is a predicted model, not a curated record. The transcript is spliced from 2 exons. NCBI's taxonomy places the organism in Eukaryota, Metazoa, Chordata, Mammalia, Chiroptera, Vespertilionidae.